This 234-nucleotide ribosomal RNA is filed under the name uncultured bacterium. Its description in RNAcentral is "partial 16S ribosomal RNA". It matches the Rfam family "Bacterial small subunit ribosomal RNA", at positions 15 to 244 of the family's 1533-position model. The record is from RNAcentral.
GAUCAUGGCUCAGGACGAACGCUGGCGGCGCGCCUAACACAUGCAAGUCGAACGAGAGAGAAGGAGCUUGCUCCUUCGAUCGAGUGGCGAGCGGGUGAGUAACGCGUGAGGAACCUGCCUCAAAGAGGGGGACAACAGUUGGAAACGACUGCUAAUACCGCAUAAGCCCACGGGUCGGCAUCGAUCUGAGGGAAAAGGAGCGAUCCGCUUUGAGAUGGCCUCGCGUCCGAUUAG